RNAcentral lists this long non-coding RNA (768 nucleotides) under Pan troglodytes (chimpanzee). Its description in RNAcentral is "long non-coding RNA NONPTRT007105". The record is from RNAcentral. Lineage: Eukaryota; Metazoa; Chordata; Mammalia; Primates; Hominidae.
CUCCAGUAAAAUUAAGCAUCAAGUAAACAAGUGGAAAGUGACCUACACUUUUAACUUGUCUCACUAGUGCCUAAAUGUAGUAAAGGCUGCUUCAGUUUUGUAUGUAGUUGGGUUUUUUGGAGUCCGAAGGUAUCCAUCUGCAGAAAUUGAGGCCCAAAUUGAAUUUGGAUUCAAGUGGAUUCUAAAUACUUUGCUUAUCUUGAAGAGAGAAGCUUCAUAAGGAAUAAACAAGUUGAAUAGAGAAAACACUGAUUGAUAAUAGGCAUUUUCAUGGUCUUUUUAAUGUUUUCUGUUGUGAAACAUUUCAAGAUUUAUUGAUUUUUUUUUUCACUUUCCCCAUCACACUCACAGGCACGCUCACACUUUUUAUUUGCCAUAAUGAACCGUCUAGCCCCUGUGAAGAUCUCCUAUGAGAACAUGCGUUUUCUGAUAACUCACAACCCUACCAAUGCUACUCUCAACGAGUUCACAGAGGAACUUAAGAAGUAUGGAGUGACGACUUCGGUUUGAGUUUGUGAUGCUACAUAUGAUAAAGCUCCAGUUGAAAAAGAAGGAAUCCACGUUCUAGAUUGGCCAUUUGAUGAUGGAGCUCCAUCCCCUAAUCAGAUAGUAGAUGAUUGGUUAAACCUGUUAAACACCAAAUUUCAUGAAGAGCCAGGUUGCUGUGUUGCAGUGCAUUGCGUUGUGGAAUUGGGAAGGGCACCUGUGCUGGUUGCACUUGCUUUGAUUGAAUGUGGAAUGAACGGGGUCUUGUGACCUUUUACCUUG